RNAcentral lists this ribosomal RNA (562 nucleotides) under Ciborinia erythronii. RNAcentral describes it as "SSU rRNA". It matches the Rfam family "Eukaryotic small subunit ribosomal RNA", at positions 558 to 1124 of the family's 1831-position model. Lineage: Eukaryota; Fungi; Ascomycota; Leotiomycetes; Helotiales; Sclerotiniaceae. The record is from RNAcentral.
AGUCUGGUGCCAGCAGCCGCGGUAAUUCCAGCUCCAAUAGCGUAUAUUAAAGUUGUUGCAGUUAAAAAGCUCGUAGUUGAACCUUGGGCCUGGUUGGCCGGUCCGCCUCACCGCGUGCACUGGUCCGACCGGGUCUUUCCUCCUGGGGAGCCGCAUGCCCUUCGCUGGGUGUGUCGGGGAGCCAGGACUUUUACUUUGAAAAAAUUAGAGUGUUCAAAGCAGGCCUAUGCUCGAAUACAUUAGCAUGGAAUAAUAGAAUAGGACGCGUGGUUCUAUUUUGUUGGUUUCUAGGACCGCCGUAAUGAUUAAUAGGGAUAGUCGGGGGCAUCAGUAUUCAAUUGUCAGAGGUGAAAUUCUUGGAUUUAUUGAAGACUAACUACUGCGAAAGCAUUUGCCAAGGAUGUUUUCAUUAAUCAGUGAACGAAAGUUAGGGGAUCGAAGACGAUCAGAUACCGUCGUAGUCUUAACCAUAAACUAUGCCGACUAGGGAUCGGGCGAUGUUAUCUUUUUGACUCGCUCGGCACCUCACGAGAAAUCAAAGUCUUUGGGUUCUGGGGGGAGU